This 56-nucleotide ribosomal RNA is filed under the name Chryseobacterium takakiae. Lineage: Bacteria; Pseudomonadati; Bacteroidota; Flavobacteriia; Flavobacteriales; Weeksellaceae. RNAcentral also lists the same sequence under 1 other name. The record is from RNAcentral.
UAAGCCCACCAGCGCCGAUGGUACUGCUAACGCGGGAGAGUAGGUCGCCGCCAGUU